UCUGCUGGCCUUGGCUGGGCUCUUUCAUGUCUGGGCAUGGCUGGCUGUUGGCUGAUCUAGACUGGUCAUGGCUUGACAGAUGAAGCAACUCUACUCCACAUUAUCUCUUAUCCUGUGCGCGGGCCCAGCCUUGAGGCAUCCUCGUGGCAAGGGCAGAAAUGCAAAUAAAUCCAAUCUUGGAAGCAAACCACGCUUCCGCACCCCACCUCCCCAUCACAUCUGCUAACAUCCUAUUGGCCAGAACGAGUCACAUGGUGGAGCUUGGAGUCCAAGUCAGAGGCACCGGUGAGUUACAGGUCAGGGAGGGUGUCUAGGGAGGGUUAAGAGAGACCAUCAUUGCAACUGCCUACAACACAUGUUCUGUCUUUGUAUAUUCAGAUGCAGUAAGCUGGUUUCACGCAAGAUGGCUGCCAGGGCUCCAGCCCCACAUCCUCCAGGUGGCACAGGCUAAGCUGUCUCCUGUGGCCAGAGAAUGUCCUUGGGUCGAGUCACUGCUGCUUGCAUCCAGAAGCUGGACUGGAAGUCAGCGAAGUAAGGAGUCUAUCGUUCUUCAGCCCCGUGUACAUUCCUCCCAGAUGACAGAUCAUAACCAUUGCAACCAACAAAGUGCGUACGUAAUGUCUGUUGGGCUCCUGGGAGAUGGUUCCCUCUUCCGAGAAAGGGCAUGCACGCUCAGCACUGACGAGUUACGAGAUCUUGAGCAAGUUACUGACCUUCUCUGCUCCUGUUUUAAAAAAGGGACUAAUAGCACCUAAGUCCUAGAGCUUCCGGAAUUAGUAUGUAGGUAUAUUGGGCUACAACAGGGUCUGGCAUAAAGUGCUACACUACUA
Molecule: long non-coding RNA, 830 nt
Organism: Felis catus (domestic cat)
Lineage: Eukaryota; Metazoa; Chordata; Mammalia; Carnivora; Felidae
Exons: 3
Source: RefSeq, a predicted model, not a curated record